AUAAUACCCGAUAGGUCUCGAUUGCUGGAAUGCAUCGAGAUUUAAAGCUCCGGCGCCUAAGGAUGGGUCUGCGGCCUAUCAGGUAGUAGUGGGUGUAGCGUACCUACUAGCCUACGACGGGUACGGGUUGUGAGAGCAAGAGCCCGGAGAUGGAUUCUGAGACACGAAUCCAGGCCCUACGGGGUGCAGCAGGCGCGAAAACUUUACAAUGCUGGCAACAGCGAUAAGGGAACCUCGAGUGCCAGGUUACAAAUCUGGCUGUCGAGAUGCCUAAAAAGCAUUUCAUAGCAAGGGCCGGGCAAGACCGGUGCCAGCCGCCGCGGUAACACCGGCGGCUCGAGUGGUAACCGUUAUUAUUGGGUCUAAAGGGUCUGUAGCCGGCCGGAUAAGUCUCUUGAGAAAUCUGGCAGCUUAACUGUCAGGCUUUCAGGAGAUACUGUCUGGCUCGAGUCCGGGAGAGGUGAGAGGUACUUCAGGGGUAGGGGUGAAAUCUUGUAAUCCUUGAAGGACCACCAGUGGCGAAGGCGUCUCACCAGAACGGACCUGACGGCAAGGGACGAAAGCUAGGGGCACGAACCGGAUUAGAUACCCGGGUAGUCCUAGCCGUAAACGAUACUCGCUAGGUGU
Molecule: ribosomal RNA, 627 nt
Filed under: uncultured archaeon
Lineage: Archaea
Description: bacterial SSU rRNA
Rfam family: Archaeal small subunit ribosomal RNA
Source: RNAcentral